Molecule: ribosomal RNA, 472 nt
Filed under: uncultured bacterium
Lineage: Bacteria
Description: bacterial SSU rRNA
Rfam family: Bacterial small subunit ribosomal RNA
Source: RNAcentral
ACUCCUACGGGAGGCAGCAGUGGGGAAUAUUGCACAAUGGGGGAAACCCUGAUGCAGCCAUGCCGCGUGUGUGAAGAAGGCCUUCGGGUUGUAAAGCACUUUCAGUAGGGAGGAAGGUAGUGUAGUUAACACCUGCACUAUUUGACGUUACCUACAGAAGAAGCACCGGCUAACUCCGUGCCAGCAGCCGCGGUAAUACGGAGGGUGCGAGCGUUAAUCGGAAUUACUGGGCGUAAAGCGCAUGCAGGCGGCCUGUUAAGUCAGAUGUGAAAGCCCGGGGCUUAACCUCGGAAUUGCAUUUGAAACUGGCAGGCUAGAGUCUUGUAGAGGGGUUAGAAUUUCAGGUGUAGCGGUGAAAUGCGUAGAGAUCUGAAGGAAUACCAGUGGCGAAGGCGGCCCCCUGGACAAAGACUGACGCUCAGAUGCGAAAGCGUGGGAGCAAACAGGAUUAGAUACCCCUGGUAGACUGUCA